Helianthus annuus (common sunflower) is the source of this 1235-nucleotide long non-coding RNA. RefSeq lists it as uncharacterized. Lineage: Eukaryota; Viridiplantae; Streptophyta; Magnoliopsida; Asterales; Asteraceae. The record is from RefSeq and is a predicted model, not a curated record. The transcript has 8 exons.
CUAACCUACUCACUAUGUAUCUGGGACAUUCAAAUUCAAAAUUCAAAAUUCAAAAUUCAAAAUCAACUGAAACAAUUAAAGGCACUGAUUGGCUCCGCCGCUAGGUAUUACAUACCCUUAAAACCCAACAUACUGUGGUGGGUGAAACUCAAACCUCACACAGGGUUUUUGAAACUCAAACUCACACCAACACAUUCUCCUCUCUAUCUCUCCUAAAUCAAGAAGUACAUGAUGUUUAAUGGCUUGAUUUUGAAGAUGUUUAGGUGAUUCUAAGGUUUGAUUUAAAAGUUCAAGUGAUUCCAGAUUCGUAUGAAUUCAUCCGGGACCCUUCAACACUUUCAAAGACAAGCAGGUUUCUGGCUAGAUCACAUUCAUGGAGGUAUAAUAUGCCACUACAAUAGAGUCGACUUUUGAAGACAAGAAAUAUAGUUAAAUGAGGUAGAUUCAAAAUUCAGAUGGAGUCUAAUAGGGAUAAGAUAACCAUCUUAAACGUGUAGUGACAAGUUGGGUCUAGGCCUUGGACUGGGUAGCUUUGUUGCUGGAGUGAUGAUAUCAACAACUGAUCUUGCUCACUAUAUUCUUGAACAACUGAACAAAUCGUUUCUUCUCUCCGCAUGAUUCCUCCCGUCAUCUUCAACAUAUGUUCAUGUCGUCUGCUGGAAGCUGUGGAGGUUGAUGUUAAUACAAGAAGUCGGGCCUAUAUUAACUUUUGACAACCUCAUCAAAUCUACGCUAGCAUUCUUCUAUUGGGUUUGGGCACCCGUUUGUGCAAACAUGAGAACCAGGGGUGUUCAAACUGUUGUUGUAACUUCAAACUUAAUGUUUAAAGUAGUUAUCUUAUUGGAGAAAUGGAUGGCGGAUUUCAUGGGAUUGGCGCUGGAAGAAUCUAUGAGUUUUUUCAACAGUGGUUUAUUUCUGGAAUCAUCAGUUUGUGUUCCUUCAUUAUUCGUUUCGCUACUGAACACGCUAGGUCGGUUUCUUGUUCGUUGAGGCGGCUUGGUGGUCAUGUGCUUUCCUUGCCUGAGGUAUUGCACUUGUAUCGAGAAUAAAAUGCCUCAACUGUCUCUUAUGUAAAUGAGCCUUGAGAGAUCAUUUAACCAGCUGAAGGGAAGUAUCUCCCAAAUCAGCCCAUUAGUUAACAAAAGGGGCAAAAUUGUCACCUUUAGGUACUUAUGGCUAAUAUAUUUAUUUAUGUGUUAUGGUUAUCACAUUCAAUAGAAAGUGGAGUUGUGGAA